Suncus etruscus (white-toothed pygmy shrew) is the source of this 187-nucleotide small nuclear RNA. RefSeq annotates it as U2 spliceosomal RNA. NCBI's taxonomy places the organism in Eukaryota, Metazoa, Chordata, Mammalia, Eulipotyphla, Soricidae. The record is from RefSeq and is a predicted model, not a curated record. The transcript has a single exon.
AUUGCUUCUCCACCUUUUGGCUAAGAUCAAGUGUAGUAUCUGUUCUUAUCAGUUUAAUAUCUGAGGGAUACAGAUAGACAUAGAAAAUCUCACUUAGGGGCCGGGAAGGUGGUGCUACAGGUUAGGUGUCUGCCUUGCAAGCAGAUGGACUGCGGUUUCGAUCUCCCCGGUGUCCCAUAUGGUCCCC